RNAcentral lists this ribosomal RNA (253 nucleotides) under uncultured bacterium. RNAcentral describes it as "partial 16S ribosomal RNA". It matches the Rfam family "Bacterial small subunit ribosomal RNA", at positions 524 to 776 of the family's 1533-position model. The record is from RNAcentral.
CACGGGGGGAGCAAGCGUUGUUCGGAAUCACUGGGCGUAAAGGGCGUGUAGGCGGUCAAGUAAGUGGAAUGUGAAAUGCCCCGGCUCACCCGGGGACCUGCAUCCCAAACUGCUUGGCUUGAGUAUGGGAGAGGAUGAGGGAAUUCCUGGUGUAGCGGUGAAAUGCGCAGAUAUCAGGAAGAACACCCGUGGCGAAGGCGGCUCUCUGGGACGGUACUGACGCUGAGACGCGAAAGCGUGGGGAGCGAACAGG